GAUGAACGCUGGCGGUGUGCCUAAUACAUGCAAGUCGAGCGAACAGACGAGGAGCUUACUCCUCUGACGUUAGCGGCGGACGGGUGAGUAACACGUGGAUAACCUACCUAUAAGACUGGGAUAACUUCGGGAAACCGGAGCUAAUACCUGAUAACAUGUUGAACCGCAUGGUUCAACAGUGAAAGACGGUCUUGCUGUCACUUAUAGAUGGAUCCGCGUCGCAUUAGCUAGUUGGUAAGGUAACGGCUUACCAAGGCAACGAUGCGUAGCCGACCUGAGAGGGUGAUCGGCCACACUGGAACUGAGACACGGUCCAGACUCCUACGGGAGGCAGCAGUAGGGAAUCUUCCGCAAUGGGCGAAAGCCUGACGGAGCAACGCCGCGUGAGUGAAGAAGGUCUUCGGAUCGUAAAACUCUGUUAUUAGGGAAGAACAAAUGUGUAAGUAACUAUGCACGUCUUGACGGUACCUAAUCAGAAAGCCACGGCUAACUACGUG
This 497-nucleotide ribosomal RNA is filed under the name uncultured bacterium. RNAcentral describes it as "partial 16S ribosomal RNA". It matches the Rfam family "Bacterial small subunit ribosomal RNA", at positions 28 to 507 of the family's 1533-position model. The record is from RNAcentral.